Phascolarctos cinereus (koala) is the source of this 497-nucleotide non-coding RNA. The record is from RefSeq and is a predicted model, not a curated record. Lineage: Eukaryota; Metazoa; Chordata; Mammalia; Diprotodontia; Phascolarctidae.
UCAUAUAGCUAGUAGGUGUCUGAGGCUGGAUUUGAAUUCAAGUCCUCCUGACUGCAAAGCUGGCACUUCCCACUGGCACUAUUCACUACACCAUGUGGCUGCCUCAAGUGAUAGAAUUACAGAAAAUAAAACAGGAAGACCUUCAUCAAAUAUCUGCUAAGUUGAAUCAAGUGAUUUUAGACUUCUUCCAUCCCAAGAAUUCAAAGAACCUUCUCAAAAAGGACUGAAAGGAUCACACUCUCCUCCAGCAUCCUUAGUCUGAUGCAUACACAGAUCCAGAGACAGUCUCUUAGGAAGACUCAAUGGGCUUCUUGAUCUACCAGUGAACCAGAAGUAGCAUGCUUCCUCCAAAUCUCCCGGAAGGACCUCUAUUUAUUAGAAUGCCUCAAAAGCAUUCUUGUGAGUGAGCUGAAAUCUUUCCCUCUUUUGAACUCCUGUUGUGCUUUGGUUGUGUUAUUCUCAGAGACCAAAACUAAAACAUAAAAACAGGUACUGAA